This 1507-nucleotide ribosomal RNA is filed under the name Limosilactobacillus reuteri. RNAcentral describes it as "partial 16S ribosomal RNA". It matches the Rfam family "Bacterial small subunit ribosomal RNA". Lineage: Bacteria; Bacillati; Bacillota; Bacilli; Lactobacillales; Lactobacillaceae. The record is from RNAcentral.
GCUCAGGAUGAACGCCGGCGGUGUGCCUAAUACAUGCAAGUCGUACGCACUGGCCCAACUGAUUGAUGGUGCUUGCACCUGAUUGACGAUGGAUCACCAGUGAGUGGCGGACGGGUGAGUAACACGUAGGUAACCUGCCCCGGAGCGGGGGAUAACAUUUGGAAACAGAUGCUAAUACCGCAUAACAACAAAAGCCACAUGGCUUUUGUUUGAAAGAUGGCUUUGGCUAUCACUCUGGGAUGGACCUGCGGUGCAUUAGCUAGUUGGUAAGGUAACGGCUUACCAAGGCGAUGAUGCAUAGCCGAGUUGAGAGACUGAUCGGCCACAAUGGAACUGAGACACGGUCCAUACUCCUACGGGAGGCAGCAGUAGGGAAUCUUCCACAAUGGGCGCAAGCCUGAUGGAGCAACACCGCGUGAGUGAAGAAGGGUUUCGGCUCGUAAAGCUCUGUUGUUGGAGAAGAACGUGCGUGAGAGUAACUGUUCACGCAGUGACGGUAUCCAACCAGAAAGUCACGGCUAACUACGUGCCAGCAGCCGCGGUAAUACGUAGGUGGCAAGCGUUAUCCGGAUUUAUUGGGCGUAAAGCGAGCGCAGGCGGUUGCUUAGGUCUGAUGUGAAAGCCUUCGGCUUAACCGAAGAAGUGCAUCGGAAACCGGGCGACUUGAGUGCAGAAGAGGACAGUGGAACUCCAUGUGUAGCGGUGGAAUGCGUAGAUAUAUGGAAGAACACCAGUGGCGAAGGCGGCUGUCUGGUCUGCAACUGACGCUGAGGCUCGAAAGCAUGGGUAGCGAACAGGAUUAGAUACCCUGGUAGUCCAUGCCGUAAACGAUGAGUGCUAGGUGUUGGAGGGUUUCCGCCCUUCAGUGCCGGAGCUAACGCAUUAAGCACUCCGCCUGGGGAGUACGACCGCAAGGUUGAAACUCAAAGGAAUUGACGGGGGCCCGCACAAGCGGUGGAGCAUGUGGUUUAAUUCGAAGCUACGCGAAGAACCUUACCAGGUCUUGACAUCUUGCGCUAACCUUAGAGAUAAGGCGUUCCCUUCGGGGACGCAAUGACAGGUGGUGCAUGGUCGUCGUCAGCUCGUGUCGUGAGAUGUUGGGUUAAGUCCCGCAACGAGCGCAACCCUUGUUACUAGUUGCCAGCAUUAAGUUGGGCACUCUAGUGAGACUGCCGGUGACAAACCGGAGGAAGGUGGGGACGACGUCAGAUCAUCAUGCCCCUUAUGACCUGGGCUACACACGUGCUACAAUGGACGGUACAACGAGUCGCAAGCUCGCGAGAGUAAGCUAAUCUCUUAAAGCCGUUCUCAGUUCGGACUGUAGGCUGCAACUCGCCUACACGAAGUCGGAAUCGCUAGUAAUCGCGGAUCAGCAUGCCGCGGUUGAAUACGUUCCCGGGCCUUGUACACACCGCCCGUCACACCAUGGGGAGUUUGUAACGCCCAAAGUCGGUGGCCUAACCUUUAUGGAGGGAGCCGCCUAAGGCGGGACAGAUGACUGGGGUGA